This is a long non-coding RNA of Gastrolobium bilobum, 241 nucleotides long. RefSeq lists it as uncharacterized. Lineage: Eukaryota; Viridiplantae; Streptophyta; Magnoliopsida; Fabales; Fabaceae. The record is from RefSeq and is a predicted model, not a curated record. The transcript has 3 exons.
GGUACCCUUGGGUUGUUAGGCCAGUUUAUAGAAUGCCUUGCAAAUUCCAGCCUUUUACGAUACUUCAGAUUGGGGAAGUUGUUGAUGGACGGGAGGAAUCAAAUCGCUUUUCCUAAAUGAUGUUCAAAAUGAUUAUGAUCCAUCAUGACAAACAAACAGUGCAUAUUUCGGUGGAUAGCGCAAGUGUUAAGACAUCACCCUUUAGUUAGCAUUUUUCUUCUGUUUCAUGUAUUUUCUGUAG